GAUGAAGAACGCAGCGAAAUGCGAUACGUAAUGUGAAUUGCAGAAUUCAGUGAAUCAUCGAAUCUUUGAACGCAUAUUGCGCUCUCUGGUAUUCCGGAGAGCAUGCUUGUUUGAGUAUCAGUAAACACCUCAACUCCCUUUUCUUUUUUGAAAUUGGAGCUGGACUUGAGUGAUCCCAACGCUUUCUUCCAAGAAAGUGGCGGGUUGCUUGAAAUGCAGGUGCAGCUGAACUUUUCUCUGAGCUAUAAGCAUAUCUAUUUAGUCUGCCUAAAAAACAGAUUAUUACCUUUGCUGCAGCUAACAUAAAGGAGACUAGUUCUUGUGCUGACUGAUGCAGGAUUCACAGAGACAGCCUCGGCUGACUUUGUAAACUCGAUCUCAAAUCAAGUAAGACUACCCGCUGAACUUAAGCAUAUCAAUAAGCGGAGGA
Molecule: unclassified non-coding RNA, 430 nt
Filed under: soil metagenome
Description: partial contains 5.8S ribosomal RNA, internal transcribed spacer 2, and large subunit ribosomal RNA
Rfam family: 5.8S ribosomal RNA (bases 1-120)
Source: RNAcentral